RNAcentral lists this transfer RNA (63 nucleotides) under Eualetes tulipa. Its description in RNAcentral is "tRNA-Ala". Lineage: Eukaryota; Metazoa; Mollusca; Gastropoda; Littorinimorpha; Vermetidae. The record is from RNAcentral.
GAUCUGGUACUUUAAAUAAAAGACUUGAUUUGCAUUCAAAAAAUGAGUUAUACUCCCAGGUCC